This 242-nucleotide long non-coding RNA is filed under the name Mytilus galloprovincialis (Mediterranean mussel). The record is from RNAcentral. Lineage: Eukaryota; Metazoa; Mollusca; Bivalvia; Mytilida; Mytilidae.
GGGGGGGGGGGCUAGGAUGAAAUUUGAAAAAAAAUAGGCAGGACAGGAGUUUUGAGUAAAAAAAAAGGCAGGAUGAGACACUUUGCAAAAAAAAGGCAGGAUGAGACACUUUGCAAAAAAAAGGCAGGAUGACAAUUUAGGUAAAAAAAAGUCAGGAUAAACUAAUAAAAAAAAAGGCAGGACCGAAUAUAGUGAAAAAUAAAAAGGCAGGACAGAGAUUACAAGUAAAAAAAAUGCAGGAC